AAAGCUGAGAACGUGGGUUUUGCCUCCU
RNAcentral lists this non-coding RNA (28 nucleotides) under Cricetulus griseus (Chinese hamster). Lineage: Eukaryota; Metazoa; Chordata; Mammalia; Rodentia; Cricetidae. The record is from RNAcentral.